This 253-nucleotide ribosomal RNA is filed under the name uncultured bacterium. RNAcentral describes it as "partial 16S ribosomal RNA". It matches the Rfam family "Bacterial small subunit ribosomal RNA", at positions 524 to 776 of the family's 1533-position model. The record is from RNAcentral.
UACGAAGGGGGCUAGCGUUGCUCGGAAUCACUGGGCGUAAAGCGCACGUAGGCGGAUUGUUAAGUCAGGGGUGAAAUCCUGGAGCUCAACUCCAGAACUGCCUUUGAUACUGGCGAUCUCGAGUCCGGGAGAGGUGAGUGGAACUGCGAGUGUAGAGGUGAAAUUCGUAGAUAUUCGCAAGAACACCAGUGGCGAAGGCGGCUCACUGGCACGGUACUGACGCUGAGGUGCGAAAGCAUGGGGAGCAAACAGG